RNAcentral lists this long non-coding RNA (245 nucleotides) under Elaeis guineensis (African oil palm). Its description in RNAcentral is "long non-coding RNA (EGUI_LNC040890)". The record is from RNAcentral. Lineage: Eukaryota; Viridiplantae; Streptophyta; Magnoliopsida; Arecales; Arecaceae.
UCCAAGCUGAGGCAAAUAAUAAAGAAGAAUCAAACAGAACCCAAAGGCUCUCAAAUAGAACUUUAACUUUUAUGGUAGGAGGUCCUCAAGCCCCUUCCACUAUUCUAUUUUUUCUUAUAGAAUAACAGGUUCUUGAGCACCUAAGCUGAAGUAAGGCCACAGUGAAGAUCAAAUCCAAAGAUGAGGUGAAGACUAAACUAAAGUAGAGACAACCAAAGCCUAGGUCACCAAAGAUCAGCCUCAAA